This 236-nucleotide ribosomal RNA is filed under the name uncultured bacterium. Its description in RNAcentral is "partial 16S ribosomal RNA". It matches the Rfam family "Bacterial small subunit ribosomal RNA", at positions 118 to 351 of the family's 1533-position model. The record is from RNAcentral.
UGAAGAAUUUGUCCAACGGCGGGGGAUAGCCGGCCCAACGGCCGGGUAAUACCGCGUACGACCCUCGGGGGGCAUCCCCUGAAGGUGAAAGCCGCAAGGCGCCGAUGGAGAACUUCGCGGCCUAUCAGCUAGUUGGUGAGGUCAUGGCUCACCAAGGCGACGACGGGUAGCUGGUCCGAGAGGAUGACCAGCCACAUUGGGACUGAGACACGGCCCAGACUCCGUACGGGAGGCAG